RNAcentral lists this ribosomal RNA (571 nucleotides) under Hepatozoon canis. Its description in RNAcentral is "SSU rRNA". It matches the Rfam family "Eukaryotic small subunit ribosomal RNA", at positions 243 to 808 of the family's 1831-position model. The record is from RNAcentral. Lineage: Eukaryota; Apicomplexa; Hepatozoidae.
UUGGUGAUUUAUAAUAACUUAGCAAAUCGCAAAGUGAAAACAGGCGAUAAAUCAUUCAAGUUUCUGACCUAUCAGCUUUCGACGGUAUGGUAUUGGCUUACCGUGGCAGUGACGGUUAACGGGGGAUUAGGGUUCGAUUCCGGAGAGGGAGCCUGAGAAACGGCUACCACAUCUAAGGAAGGCAGCAGGCGCGCAAAUUACCCAAUUCUAACAGUUUGAGAGAGGUAGUAACAAGAAAUAACAAUACAAGGCAGUUAAAAUGCUUUGUAAUUGGAAUGAUAGAAAUUUAAACCCUUUUUAAAGUAUCAAUUGGAGGGCAAGUCUGGUGCCAGCAGCCGCGGUAAUUCCAGCUCCAAUAGCGUAUAUUAAAAUUGUUGCAGUUAAAAAGCUCGUAGUUGAAGUUCUGCUGAAAGUAACCGGUCUGCUUUUAAUAAAAGUGGUAUCUUGGUAUGUAUUUAGCAAUGAUGUCCUUUGAAGUGUUUUUUACUUUAUUGUAAUAAAGCAUAUUCAGGACUUUUACUUUGAGAAAAUUAGAGUGUUUCUAGCAGGCUAACGCUUUGAAUACUGCAGC